Molecule: long non-coding RNA, 249 nt
Organism: Oncorhynchus gorbuscha (pink salmon)
Lineage: Eukaryota; Metazoa; Chordata; Actinopteri; Salmoniformes; Salmonidae
Exons: 4
Source: RefSeq, a predicted model, not a curated record
CCCCUCGUCCUUUGACUCCAUCUUGGAUAUGAUUGGUCUGAUGAGAGAGUACCAAGAGCAUGAUGAUGUACCCAUCUGUAUACACUGCAGUGCUGGCUGUGGGAGGACAGGUGCCAUCUGUGCUAUAGACUACACAUGGAACCUACUAAAGGCUGGGAAGAUUCCAGAAGACUUCAACGUGUUCCGGCUGAUUCAGGAGAUGAGAACACAGAGGCAUUCUGCUGUUCAGACCAAGGAACAGUAUGAGUU